Myotis daubentonii (Daubenton's bat) is the source of this 8087-nucleotide long non-coding RNA. RefSeq lists it as uncharacterized. Lineage: Eukaryota; Metazoa; Chordata; Mammalia; Chiroptera; Vespertilionidae. The record is from RefSeq and is a predicted model, not a curated record.
AUUGAUCAGCUGCCUCCUGCAUGCCCCACACUGGGACCAAGCCUGCAACCUGGGCAUGUGCCCUGACCUCUUGGUGCAUGGGUUGAUGCUCAAUCAUGAGCUACACUGGCUGGGUCAUUUCUCUUCUUUGGAAUCUAAUAAGUAAGGGAUAGUAAGGUGUGCCUAGCCAUGUCCACUCCUGGCAUACUCAUGCAGCCCCACACAAUGUGGUUUGCUGGAGAGCACCAUGGUAGGAAGGAAGGUUAGGCAUGCCCUGGUCACAGGAGGCCAUUUGUCCCUUGUCGAAUAACUUUUCCUGUGUGCAUGUUAAACUGUUGGUAGCCAGGCUAUGACUUCCCAAGGGGACUACCUGUAUUAGGAUUCUCCAGAGAAUAGAACCAAUAGGAUUUGUGAGUGUGUGUGUCCAUGUGCAUGUGCGCACACAUGUACACACGCAAGUAUUUUAUGAGGAAUUGGAGAAUGUGUUUAUGGGGCUUGGCAAGCCCAGAUCUGCACUGUGGGCCAGCGGGUUCCAGACCCGGGAGAGCCAGUGGUCCAGACUGAAGUCCAAAGGUAGUCUGCUUGAGAAUUUUCUCUUGUUCAGGCAGGCUGGGCUUUUUGGUUUAUUCGGUCUCAACUGAUUGAAUGAGACCUGUCCACAGUAAGGAGAGCAUCUGCUUACUCAGAGUUCACCAGUUUAAAUCUUAAUCUCAUCCAGAAAGUCCCUGCAGUUGAUGCAUAGAAUUAGCCAUCACAGUCCCUCGAUGGGAUAUGCUUAUGGGGGCCAUGUGUUGACCCCACCCCAACCUCAGAAUUUCUCUUAAAUGCCAACAUUUUUUAGUUAAAUGUGUUAGGUAGAAUUUUUAUAACCUGUCUGAAUUGAAUUAAUGGAUAAGGAAACACUUUAAAAAUAGUGAAGCAGUUUACAAAUGCAAGGAAUUUAGGGAAGUGGUGAGUGAAGAGGGUGUGGGGUAGAGUUUAGUUGGAUGGCUUGCCACCUGUCAUGAGGAUUAUAGUUUGGCAAGAGAACAAUAAACCCCCUUUUUUUUUUCGACUGCCAUACACGGUGCAGCGGGGACCUUCUUAGAACCUUCUCUUAGAUCUCCAUGAAAGUCCCAUCGCCGUUCUGUGGGAGAAUGUCUUGGUGUGGGACCUUUGGAACUCAGGUUCUGCUGUGCAGCCAUUGAGUUCUCACCGACUCUCACUGCUGGUGGCUCUUUAGAGGACUCCUUGUGGUGUUGGGCAACCCAUGGGUUGAAUAAUUGGACGGAUGAAAAAUGUAAUUUGUUUACAUAGCAGCUAUCUUUUGAGCCAUAUUAUCUCCUAUCAACUUUGGGACAAUAUAAUAAAGUAGAGGGGUGUUUUACAGAGUAAGCCUUUCUUCAGUUCAACUUGCAGAAAUGAGGGUGUUUUUAUUUUCCAGUGAACUCUUACAACAAAAUGUUCAUUAAUUAAAAAUAGCUGCCUGAUACAGGAAACAGCUCAUAUAGCAGCUUCUGACACGGUUCUAAAAACAGACUUGAGCUGCUUGCGUGCUAAACAGGAAUGAACAAUGAAAACUGUAUGAACAAAUUCAGGGGCCUUUCCUUGGAUUUGUCUGUACCCCUCGUGUCCUUGCUGAACACCAAGAGAUGCCAGUCAGCUGAGGUCGCCCAGCCUUGGCCAGUCCCCCGAUACCCUGUGGAGCUGCUCAUUGCUUUCUACGAAAAAUGAAAACUCUUAAUUUUGUUUGUUUUUGUUUUUUUAGAAAGAGGAAGGGAGAGAGAGAGACAGAGAGAGGGAGAGACAUCUAUUGGUUGCCUCUUAUACACGCACCAACCAGGGUCUGAACCUGAACUAUAGGUAUGGGACCGGAACUGAACACUCAACCCUUUGCUGUACAGGACGAUGCUGAGCCACACCAGCCAAGGCAAAAACUCUUAACUUUUGUCAUUAUUUUUUACUCUAAGAUCUGUCUCUAGCAUAGACUCUAAGAGAAGUCUCCUGAGAUUUAGAAAGUAUAUUUCAUUUGCUUAAAUGAUUGUUAAAUUGGUCCUAGGUAUAAUGCAUUAAAUGUUUGGCAGGAAAAAAAAAUGUUUAUUUCACAUUAUAUUGCUUCAUAAAUAACUAAUUUAUCAUGACCAGAGAGAAUUGAAGUUCAAAAUAUACCAAAAGGGGCCUGUGUUCUGGCUAUUUCUUGCAGUUUAAUAAACCAUUCCAAAGUGUAAUAGCUUAAACCAGCAAUUUGUAACCUUGGGAUUUGGUGGGUUGACCAGGAAGUUCUGUUUCAUGUGAUGUUGGCUGGAUGCUGGAAUGGCUGUUGUCCUCUGAGGCUUGGAGAAGAGCUCAGCGGGACCCAGCAGCUGCUUGGGUUGCCUUGUGGUGUCUGGAUUCCACAAGGGAAGAGGUGGAUGCUGCCCGACCAAUUAAGGGCUACGACCAGAGUUGGCGCUGCAUCAUUUCUGCCAUAUUUUAAUGGUCUAAGCAGUAAUAGGCCCAACCCAGAGUCGGUGUGAGAAGGGACUAUGCAAAGACAUGAAUACUCAGAAGUGUAGUUCGUUGGAGGUGGUCACCAAAAUAACGGUUGACCAGGGUGUGUGCUCUCUGGCCCCUCACACAUGUAAACUGUGCUGACCCCGACACAAGACCUUCACAAUCGCAUUACUACAUCAGCUUAGUUCAGGAUUAGUCUAAAUCAAGUCAAAGAGCUGAUGAGGCUCUUUCGGUACAGCUAAUCUCAACUGAAUACCUGGGAACUAAAGUGACAAACUGGGAACUAAAGGGACAAACUACACUACGGGGUUGCCUGUUCAAUUCCUGUCAGGAUGCAUGCCCAGGCUGUAGGCUCGAUCCCCAAUAGAGGACAUGCAGGGGGCAGCAGGUCAAUGUUUCUCCCUCACUUUGAUCACAUUGCUGUUUCUCUCUCCCUCUCCCUUCCUCUCUCUAAAAAUCAAUAAAAACGUUUUUAUUUAAAAAAAAGAUGCAGUCACUUUAGAAACAGUCUGGCAGUUUCACAAAAUGUUAAAACAUCAGAGUUGUAAGAGAGUUGUCAUAGUACCCAGAAAUUUCAUACCUAAGCAUAAACCCAAGAGAAAGGAAAUCAUGCAUCCAUACAAAACUUGUACAUGAAUGUUCAUGGUGACAUUGUAAGAGCCACAAGGUGGAAACAACUCAAAUAUCCAUCAACUGAAGAACGGAUAAAUAACAUUUAGGAUAUCCAUACAAUGUAAUAUGUAAUUUACAUAUUACAUAUUACUAUAAUACUACAGUAUUACAUAUUUACAUAUUACAAUUUACUGUAAUACUAAUACAUAUUACAGUAUGGAUGAACCUUUAAAACACAAUAAGUGAAAGAAGCCAGCCACAGACGGUCACAUCUUGUAUGAUUCCAUUUAUACCUAGAAUAGACAAAUCAAUAGAAACAGAAAGUAGAUUAGUGAUUUCUGAGGGUUGUAUGAGGGAGAGCUUAAUAACUAAAGUGUACAGGUUUCUUUUGGAGGUGAUAAAAUGUUCUAAAAGUAACUGAUUGUAUGUAUCUGAAUUUACUAAAAAUCUUUGAAUUGCAAACUUGGGGUGAAUUGUAUGGUAUGUGAAUUUUUUAAAAGGGCAGAAGGGGGGACAUGGGAGGCACCCAUAGGCAGCUCUAAAACCCAGCCAGGUAUAUGUCUGUGGUUCCUUGUUUAGGGGCCAGUUUGUAUGGCUCUUCUUUCCACCCUCUAGGCUCUGGGCUGUAUUUUCUGACUCUUCUUACUUUUCCACAAGAAAUGGUUCGUGUUUGCAGCCUCUUUGUAUCUGCAUAAGGCACUGAUAUUUUUUAUUUUGAACUGUUUCUGUCUUUUCAGUCCAGGCUGAUAAUGCUUCCAUGGAUAUGUUUCUCAAAGUCUUUGUGGGUUUUCCCAUGUAUCUCUUUGGGGUUCACAGCAUUAGAGAAAAACCAUUUCCACAAAUCUCUUUGAGACAGAACUCUCUCUCUCCCUUGGACUACCUUUAAGUCAAUGUUGUGUGAAAAUACCUUUAAGAUUCUUAGAAGCUCUAGUGUCUGGUAGAGAUAGUCCUUAAGAUGCACCCUUAAAAUUCUUUCAAGCCUGUUGGUCUACCUCUGAUUUGCAAAGUGUGGUGCCUGUGCCACCAGCAUUAGCAUCACCUGUGAAUUGAAAUUGACUACAGAGGUCAGACCCACUUUAGAUUUGCUGAAUCAAACUGUGAGGAUCCAGCCCAGCAAUCUGGGUUUCAGCAAACCCCGGAGCUAUGUCUGACACACACGAAGUUUUAGAACCACUGGUCUAAAUGGAGAGAGUCUAUGAGGAACCACUUAAAAUCUUUAUGAGGCUCAACAAAGGGCUGUGCAACCACAUCCUUGAGGACACAGGAUUUGAUCUUUGCCCUGAGCUAUUUCUUAUUUUGUGCGUCAUUUGCUAAGAUAAUGAAAUGAGGAAUCGUUUUAUUUGGGGACCUAUCAAGUUCAACUCCUUUAUGUUUAUUUCCUCUAAAUUCUGCUUGGAAGGGAACCGAACGGUUUCUUUUUUGUUCAUCCCACUACUCCUGUAUUUUAUCACAGGCAGCUAAGAAAAGCCAGUUGGUACUUUCAACAUUUUUCCUGGAAUUCUCCUUAGAUCCAUGAACUGGAUAACUUUCAACCUUCCACAUUACUGCACGCAGUGGGUGUGCUAAUUAUUCUGCUGUACAUAAUGUAGCUUCCCUUUCUUCAGCCAGCAAUAACAUUUCUUCACUUUUUCAAAUCUUUAUUAACAGUCACCUCCAUCUUCUGGGAUCCAAAGCCAGUACAUAUUUUAGGUUUUUGUGACAGUGGAACCCCAAUUCUGGUACCAAAUUUUGUUUCAGUAACCUACUGCUGCAUAACAAAACAAACCCAAAUUAUUGGCUUAAGAAAACAGUUAUCUUGCUCACAAUUUUGAGAUUUGGCCAGGGUUUGAUAAGGAUGGCUCCUCUCUGGCCUGCGUGUUUUCAGCUGGGAGAGCUCGAUUAGGACUGUAGGAUUUAUUUCCAAGAUAGCUCACUUAGACAGCUGGCAAGUUGGUGCUUGCCGAUGUCAGCUGGGAUUUUAGCUGAAGUCGUCAGCUGGGACCUUGAUUCUCCUUCAUGUAGGCUGCUUGAACCUUCUCACAGUAUGGCAUCUGGAUUCCAAAGUGGAGAAAGCAGAAGUUGCCAGGCCCCUUACAGUGUUAGCCUAGAACUGGCGCAAUGUCAUUUCUGCCCUUUGCUGUUGGACAAACCAUCAUAGACCCAGCACAGAUUCUAGGAGGUGGAGAAGUAGACCUCGCCUCUUGGGAGUAGUGACAGGAUUUGUGGCUGUCAUUCACCCUCUGUAAUCUGUUAAGGUUUUUUUUCUUUGUGUUGUUGUGUGUGUGUGUUUUAAAUACUGAAAAGGCACUCUUGGCUAAAGUUAGGAGUUGAUGAAAAGUAAUUUGUUCAUCACUUGAAGAAAGGUCAAACUCUAGAAGGAGGUUUAAAAGAAAACAUUUAUAUAGACAGAACCUCUCAAUAUCUGGACAUUUUAAAUGUUAUAUUUCACUGGUGGACAGAAGUCAUUUUUUCUUUUUUUCUUUUUUUGGUAGAAUUACAUUUUUAUGAGACUGACGCGCAACCCACUGGGCCAGGAGGGCCGCCGGCGACAGAAUUACUUUUUUAAAUUCCUCAUCAUCGUAAUCAUACUCUUCAACUUUGGUUGUGUCAAGAUUUCUAUGUGACGGGGACAUCUGAAUGCAUUACGUAUCUUAUUUGGUCUCAACAAUGAACUGUUUAUUUUUAGUAAAGGUUGCCUCAUACUGUGUUACUGAAUGCAGAGAAAUAGUCCCCUUCCACAGGCUCCAUUUCUUAAAAUACGGACUAAAUGCUGUUUAAGAGUUGUGGACAACGAAAGGCGGGCUCUGUAUACAUUGUAGAAAUGAUUGUGGUAAAGGCAGUGGGCGAUAAUGGGAUGAAAGAAUCCCAAGGUUUUCUGUCAUUUGGAGCUUCUGUGUGCAGCUGUCUCUACAUUGGCACGAGAGGACAAAACAGGUGGCAGCAGGAGCUGGCUUCUACUGUUGUUUACUCACCCGAAUGGUCUAUUAGGUUAGUUCAUACAGGCUAGUAAAUGGCUUCCUGAAUUUGUUAAGCACUUAUAUUAGUAAAUGUUUCCCUACCCAGUUUUAUGCUCUAUUAAAAAAAAAAAUCAAAUUAAUGCUGUAUUACAAUAGGGAUUCAAUGGCAUUUAAAUACAUCCUGUAGCUUUAAGAUUCAUAGAAUCUGACAGAUAUUCAAUCUUUGACCUUUAACUUUGGUUCCUGUUUUUAGCUUUGGUUUCAUGCUUUUGAGUUUGGUUACGAGUAUACAUUAUCACGCGGCACUGAUAAGUCAUUCACUAUUGAGGUAAUUUGAAUGUUUUUCUUUAAUUUGAUUGUAAAAAUGUUUUGGGGGCAACACUAGUUUUGCUUACUUGCUUUUAGUUUUACUCUCACAUCUGAAUAGUCGUUAAGUGUUACUAAUAACAUACUUCCUCCUUUUCUGUCUCUCUCUCAUUGGUUCUUCUACUUAGGUUUUUCUUCUUUAUUCUACUCAUACCCUACCCUGUCUGGUGGUGAGACAUAUUUAGCAGUGAGAUUAUGGGUGUGGGGAUGAAAUGAUUAAAAUACACGUGUUUGAUUUUGUAUGAGGAGUCCUCCCAGCUUCUUCUUGAUUCUCUCUAUCCACUGUCAAACUUCCUUGGCAUGAUAUCGUUACCAAUCGUUCAGAAAAUGAUGUCCACACUCUCAGUUUUCAGAAAUUAUCUUCUGUUGUCUCUCCACAAAUUAUAAUUCCAUUUGCUUAGGGAUAUCCUCAGUGCGUGCUCAUCAUCAAGCAAUUAUUGUGUGAGCCAGUAAAGCAUCUAGGAAACAGAAAAUGGUCACUAUUAUUUGCUCUUCAGUGUCCAGUCUUCAUAUUCUUUCUCAGUCAGAUUUGAAAACUGGACAUGUUUUCUGAAGGCUUGGAUUGCACACUUGUAGAAUGUUGGUGGGCGGCGGGGGAGGGGGUUCUGCGAGUUAUUUUGGUCGUCUCAGGCCUUCACAACUGUAUUUCACUCAUCAUCAAUAGGACCUUCCUUGUUUCAAAGUUUGUACAACCAACUUACUGCAUUAUCAUUAUUUUGAGCUCCAAUUGUUACAAAUGUAUUCUUGGAUAUGUUAAAAAAUUGUCCUUUAUUUCCCUUGGAUAGAUAUAUAACCUUCUGAUUAUCAUCUAGCUAUUUUCAUAGAAUUCCCAUUUCUGGGCUAAAUAAUUUUAAUCCCUUUGAUUUUCUCAUAUCCCACUUUCCCCAUAGCUUCAGUAAAUUGUCUAAAUAGUUAAUAUUAAUACAUUUAUUAUUCAACAGAAUUAUUUUUCUACUUGACCUUCCUUCUGUAAAUAGCUAAGCAGCAAAAUUCAUAAAGCAUUAUUUUUUACCACUAUUUAAAUAUAUCAUUUAUAAAGUUAUGUAAUUGCAGUUAUAUAAUUUAGAACCCUAAUCUUGCACUAUAACUGCACAUGUAAUGAACAGGUUUGAUACAUAGAAUAAACAUAAUAAUCAAAAAAGGGAAUGAAAAAAGUGCUGCAUAUAAUUGGAAGAUACUUAUUCUAUCCUCCCUUCUACUUCCAAUCUGCUCUGUUUACUGUUUUAAUUGCAAAAUUCUCUGUGGUGCCCUUUCAUUUAUUUGUAAAUUAUAUAAACCCUGUCUUUCUGAAAAAUCUGCUUAUUUUCCCCAAAUGGACAUAUUUGGAUUUAUGUUACUUUUGAUUUUUAACUUUAGUUAAUUAAGAUAAUUUUUACUUUCAAAACUUGUUUGGACUAUCACUUUUUAUUUCAGUAGCAUUUGUAAGAGAUUUCUAAUUUAUUAUUUAGGUUGCUUUUGAUAGAUAUACCCAUGAAAACUACAAAGUACUGAUGAAAGUAAUUAAAGACCUAAGUAAAUGAAGAUAUAUACAUAGUUGACCUAUGAACCAGGAGCUCACGGUUCAAUUCCCAGUCAGGGCAUAUGCCAGGGUCACCGGCUCAAUCCCCAGUAGAGGGUGUCCAGGAGGCAGUCGAUCAAUGAUUCUCUCUCAUCAUUGAUGUUUCUAUCUGUGCCUCUCCUUUCCUCUCUGAAAUCAAUACAAAAAUAUAUAAAAAACAAAAA